RNAcentral lists this unclassified non-coding RNA (253 nucleotides) under uncultured Micrococcaceae bacterium. Its description in RNAcentral is "contains 16S-23S intergenic spacer region". It matches the Rfam family "Bacterial small subunit ribosomal RNA", at positions 524 to 776 of the family's 1533-position model. Lineage: Bacteria; Bacillati; Actinomycetota; Actinomycetes; Micrococcales; Micrococcaceae. The record is from RNAcentral.
UACAGAGGGUGCGAGCGUUAAUCGGAUUUACUGGGCGUAAAGAGCUCGUAGGCGGUCUGUCGCGUCUGCUGUGAAAACUCGAGGCUCAACUCCGGAUCUGCGGUGGGUACGGGCAGGCUAGAGUGAUGUAGGGGAGACUGGAAUUCCUGGUGUAGCGGUGAAAUGCGCAGAUAUCAGGAUGAACACCGAUGGCGAAGGCAGGUCUCUGGGCAUUAACUGACGCUGAGGAGCGAAAGCAUGGGGAGCGAACAGG